UUGUCCGGAUUUAUUGGGCGUAAAGAGCGUGUAGGCGGUCUGGUAGGUCCGUUGUGAAAACUCGAGGCUCAACCUCGAGACGCCGAUGGAAACCAUCAGACUAGAGUCCGGAAGAGGAGAGUGGAAUUCCUGGUGUAGCGGUGAGAUGCGCAGAUAUCAGGAAGAACACCCGUGGCUAAGGCGGCUCUCUAGUACGGUACUGACGCUGAGACGCGAAAGCGUGGGGAGCGAACAGG
This 236-nucleotide ribosomal RNA is filed under the name uncultured bacterium. RNAcentral's name for it is "partial 16S ribosomal RNA". It matches the Rfam family "Bacterial small subunit ribosomal RNA", at positions 541 to 776 of the family's 1533-position model. The record is from RNAcentral.